This 478-nucleotide ribosomal RNA is filed under the name uncultured bacterium. RNAcentral describes it as "partial 16S ribosomal RNA". It matches the Rfam family "Bacterial small subunit ribosomal RNA", at positions 28 to 523 of the family's 1533-position model. The record is from RNAcentral.
GACGAACGCUGGCGGCGUGCUUAACACAUGCAAGUCGAACGGUAAGGCCCUUCGGGGUACACGAGUGGCGAACGGGUGAGUAACACGUGGGUGAUCUGCCCUGCACUUCGGGAUAAGCCUGGGAAACUGGGUCUAAUACCGGAUAGGACCACUGCCUGCAUGGGUGGUGGUGGAAAGCUUUUGCGGUGUGGGAUGGGCCCGCGGCCUAUCAGCUUGGUGGUGGGGUGAUGGCCUACCAAGGCGACGACGGGUGGCCGGCCGGGGAGGGUGACCGGCCAAACGGGGACUGAGAUACGGCCCAGACUCCUACGGGAGGCAGCAGUGGGGAAUAUUGCACAAGGGGCGCAGCCCUGAUGCAGCGACGCCGCGUGGGGGAUGACGGCCUUCGGGUUGUAAACCUCUUUCAGCACCGACGAAGCGAAAGUGACGGUGGGUGCAGAAGAAGGACCGGCCAACUACGUGCCAGCCGCCGCGGUAA